UAUUAUUUCUUUUAAAACUAUUUAAAUUAUCUUAAUUGUAAAAAGACAAUUUUAUCAUAGAAAGACGAUAAGACCCUAUCGAACUUAACUUUAGUUUAACUGGGACAGUUAAUUAAUUAUUAUUUUAAUAAAACUAAACCUAUAAUUUGACCUAAUAUAAUUAAUAAAAUAAUUAAGUUACCGUAGGGAUAACAGCGUAAUAAAAUUUUUCAGGCCUUAUUUAAAAUAAAGAUUACGACCUCGAUGUUGAUUUAAUAACCUAAUUAUAACGCAAUAGUAAAUAAAGGAAGUCUGUUCGACUUUUAAAAAAUUACAUGAUUUGAGUUCAGACCGGCGUAAG
RNAcentral lists this ribosomal RNA (340 nucleotides) under Trochosa aquatica. RNAcentral describes it as "partial 16S ribosomal RNA". It matches the Rfam family "Bacterial large subunit ribosomal RNA", at positions 2048 to 2625 of the family's 2925-position model. Lineage: Eukaryota; Metazoa; Arthropoda; Arachnida; Araneae; Lycosidae. The record is from RNAcentral.